This 232-nucleotide ribosomal RNA is filed under the name Clostridioides difficile. RNAcentral's name for it is "partial 23S ribosomal RNA". It matches the Rfam family "Bacterial large subunit ribosomal RNA", at positions 901 to 1132 of the family's 2925-position model. Lineage: Bacteria; Bacillati; Bacillota; Clostridia; Peptostreptococcales; Peptostreptococcaceae. The record is from RNAcentral.
GGUAGAGCACUGAAUGUCCUAGGGGGUAUUGCACCUACCGAAGACUAUCAAACUCCGAAUGCCGUCAUCUUAUACUUGGGAGUCAGACUGUGGGGGAUAAGAUUCAUAGUCGAAAGGGCAACAGCCCAGAUCGUCAGCUAAGGUCCCUAAAUGUAAGUUAAGUGGGAAAGGAUGUGGGAUUGCACAGACAACCAGGAUGUUGGCUUAGAAGCAGCCACUCAUUCAAAGAGUG